UGGUGUCAUAGCCCAGCCACUUGUUAAAAUGCAAAUCAACGGUGACCCUGUUAAUGUGUCUGUCAAUUUGUGCUCCACAUCAUCAGUGCUCUACAAUCAGAGCCUUGUUCACACAACAAAACCCAGUCGGGCCCAGAGUUCAGCAGCAGCGACAACUACUGGCUCAUUUUGGCACAGCGCACGAAGCACCGCGUGGACGUUGACACGGCGGACGGAGAGUUUUUGUUUUAUAUAAGAGUUGUUGUUAAAGAUGACGUGAUGUGUGUGUGUUUUGGAGAACAGAGUAAUGAGUCCAAGAGUCUGGACCCGAUGAGGCAGAACCUCAGUGGUCAGGUCACAGGGAAAGAAAUAACGUUUCCUCGACACACAUUGUCCAGGGUGUAACCCCCCCACCCCACCCUUAUCCCCUGGAUGACAACUGCUGCACCCUGAGGAAGGGGAUGACUGACUGAUGGAUCUGAACCCACAACCUUCUGACGUGAGUUUGUCCUUUUUUGUAAAUGAUGAGCUUUAAUUUAUUAUUAGUUUACUUACGUUUGAACUGAAAUGAAACGCUGAAAUAUUAUUUGUAGUAGAACUAGUUUUAGUCAACUUAUUAUUAGUUACAUUAUUUUAAUUAACUAACUUGGUUCUUUUGUUUUUUUACACCUCUGUUACGUCACCACAGUCUCCAGUAUCACAGUCUGUAUUUUUUUGCCUCCACUGGUGCAAAUGAAGUUCAGCGUUCAACUGAUUUUCUACUUUACACCUCUGGAGGUCGCUGUAGAUCCCAGUUUUUUUUUAUCCCCGGUUUAAUUGAACAGUGUUAGAUUCACAGGGUGAAAUUUCGAUCAAUACUAAAUUUCCAUGAGAUUUAAAAAUAAAAAUAUAAUAAAAAAAACAAACGGACAGAGGGCCACAUUAAAUUUGAGAUGAAAAUUUAUUUAUUUAUAUGUAUUUGAUUUUAAAAAAUGAUCUUCCUCCCAUAAUUAACUUAUAUUCUGCCCUUCUUUUCUGUAAUUGCUUUUCUGUUUUGUGUGUAAUAUUAUUAUAUAAGAUUUUAAUCAGUGGAAAAUGAAUAUCUGUGAGUCUGGCAGAAGAAACCAGUGUGAGAAAAAAAAAAAAAACAGAAACAAAACCCGGGGCUACUGCAGAGACAUUUCAACGGUAUAUGCUUCACAGGUUCUGCCUUUUCUUUGCCAGCAUUAAUUACAUUUUAUAUUCAAAGGUGUUUAACGAGACAGCUGUGAAAAAUCAACCCUGCAGCCCCCAGACUUCUGACCACCGUGCUAAUUUUACACUAAAUUGAAUCUGAAUCAAAUGAUAGACGGCUAUAUUUGUUCAUUUUACUUAGAUUUACAAAUUGAAUUCUUCAAAUGUCCAUUGUUUCUAAUUGACUUUGUUAUGUCUAAAUUCUCCCGUCAGCUGUUUUUAUUUUGCGUCCUUUGUUGUUGCAGCGUGCUCAGAAAUAUCUUUCCAUCUGUCGUCGUCGUCGGAGCGAAUCUGUCUGUUUAGCUACCGAUUCAUUUGGGGAUCAAGAUGUUUGGACUCACUUUCACUCAAUUUGAGUCGUUCCCUUUUAGUCGUCUACACGACAAUGUUAAUUUACAUCAUUGUCCCGUUGAUGAAGCUUCAGCUCAGGUUUGAAGCAGCAGGGAGUUGAAAUAAUGGAAUGAAAAAAAAAAGGACAGAAGGAAAAUCAGCGUCAAGAUUCGUUGGACAAGUUUGUCUGAGUCCAGCACAGAGUGAGAGUUGAAUUAAAUGAAUGGAAGUAUGAUGAAAUAUAUAUAAAACAUAUAUAAAA
Cynoglossus semilaevis (tongue sole) is the source of this 1783-nucleotide long non-coding RNA. RefSeq lists it as uncharacterized. The transcript is spliced from 3 exons. Lineage: Eukaryota; Metazoa; Chordata; Actinopteri; Pleuronectiformes; Cynoglossidae. The record is from RefSeq and is a predicted model, not a curated record.